This 463-nucleotide ribosomal RNA is filed under the name uncultured bacterium. RNAcentral describes it as "partial 16S ribosomal RNA". It matches the Rfam family "Bacterial small subunit ribosomal RNA", at positions 28 to 507 of the family's 1533-position model. The record is from RNAcentral.
GACGAACGCUGGCGGCGUGCUUAACACAUGCAAGUCGAACGGUGAACCUCUUCGGAGGGGCUCAGUGGCGAACGGGUGAGUAACACGUUGGCAACCUGCCCCCGUCUCUGGGAUAACUCCAAGAAAUUGGGGCUAAUACCGUAUGUUCACCGCUUCCCUCAUUGCUGGUGGUUAAAAGGUUUUCCGGCUGGGGAUGGGCCCGAGGCCUAUCAGCUUGUUGGUGGGGUAGUGGCCUACCAAGGCGACGACGGGUAGCCGGCCUGAGAGGGUGACCGGGCACAAUGGGACUGAGAGAGGGCGCAGACUGCAACGGGAGGCAGCAGUGGGGAAUAUUGCGCAAUGGGCGGAAGCCUGACGAAGCGACGCCGCGUGGGGGAUGACGGCCUUCGGGUUGUAAACAUCUGUCAGCAGGGACGAAGAGAAAGUGACGGUAAAUGAAGAAGAAGCACCGGCCAACUACGUG